Molecule: ribosomal RNA, 253 nt
Filed under: uncultured bacterium
Lineage: Bacteria
Description: partial 16S ribosomal RNA
Rfam family: Bacterial small subunit ribosomal RNA
Source: RNAcentral
UACGUAGGCAGCGAGCGUUGUUCGGAGUUACUGGGCGUAAAGGGUGUGUAGGCGGUUCUUUAAGUUUGGUGUGAAAUCUCCCGGCUCAACCGGGAGGGUGCGUCGAAUACUGAGGGACUAGAGUGCGGGAGAGGAAAGUGGAAUUCCUGGUGUAGCGGUGAAAUGCGUAGAUAUCAGGAGGAACACCGGUGGUGUAGACGGCUUUCUGGACCGUAACUGACGCUGAGACACGAAAGCGUGGGUAGCAAACAGG